RNAcentral lists this ribosomal RNA (512 nucleotides) under uncultured bacterium. RNAcentral's name for it is "partial 16S ribosomal RNA". It matches the Rfam family "Bacterial small subunit ribosomal RNA", at positions 28 to 523 of the family's 1533-position model. The record is from RNAcentral.
GACGAACGCUGGCGGCGUGCCUAAUACAUGCAAGUCGAGCGGAUCUUCAUUAGCUUGCUUUUGAAGAUCAGCGGCGGACGGGUGAGUAACACGUGGGCAACCUGCCUGUAAGACUGGGAUAACUUCGGGAAACCGGAGCUAAUACCGGAUAAUCCUUUUCCUCUCAUGAGGAAAAGCUGAAAGACGGUUUCGGCUGUCACUUACAGAUGGGCCCGCGGCGCAUUAGCUAGUUGGUGAGGUAACGGCUCACCAAGGCGACGAUGCGUAGCCGACCUGAGAGGGUGAUCGGCCACACUGGGACUGAGACACGGCCCAGAAUCCUACGGGAGGCAGCAGUAGGGAAUCUUCCGCAAUGGACGAAAGUCUGACGGAGCAACGCCGCGUGAGCGAUGAAGGCCUUCGGGUCGUAAAGCUCUGUUGUCAGGGAAGAACAAGUACCGGAGUAACUGCCGGUACCUUGACGGUACCUGACCAGAAAGCCACGGCUAACUACGUGCCAGCCGCCGCCGUAA